CUUGACAUGCCACUAACGAAGCAGAGAUGCAUUAGGUGCUCGAAAGAGAAAGUGGACACAGGUGCUGCAUGGCUGUCGUCAGCUCGUGUCGUGAGAUGUUGGGUUAAGUCCCGCAACGAGCGCAACCCUUGUCUCUAGUUGCUACGAAAGGGCACUCUAGAGAGACUGCCGGUGACAAACCGGAGGAAGGUGGGGAUGACGUCAAGUCCUCAUGGCCCUUAUGGGUAG
Molecule: ribosomal RNA, 228 nt
Filed under: uncultured beta proteobacterium
Lineage: Bacteria; Pseudomonadati; Pseudomonadota; Betaproteobacteria
Description: partial 16S ribosomal RNA
Rfam family: Bacterial small subunit ribosomal RNA
Source: RNAcentral